UUUCUCCCCGUUAAAAAAUCCAGAUUCCACAUAAAACUAAAGCUAGAAGAAGCCAAUUUAUCAGCACCAACGAAUUCAACCAUCUUCAUUCACCGGUGAAUCUAACCAUCUUCGUUCACCGGUGAAUCUAACCAUCAUUCACCAGCGAUUCAUACUAUCUUCGUUGACUGGCGAUUACGCCAACUUCGUUCAUCAAUUUCAGUCAGUUCAAUAUUCGGAGCUCCCGACAACACUUUACAUUUUCGUCACCACCGUUUGCUGGAAAAGAGAUCUUGACAUCUUGUACAAGCUAUGUUCAGUUCUCCUCUCAAACCGGUCUCAAUUGCUCAAUGAAACCUGAAAGUUUCUCUGACGAAGCCAGCGAUCUAGAAGAGGAUUGAAGACUAUCUGAUGAAUAUGUUAGGAUUUAUGUGCAUGGUUUUGGUUUGGUAGAUGUUUGAAUGUUGGAUAUAUCUAGUUUGGUAUGAUUUUUGUGCAGGUAUUUGAUU
RNAcentral lists this long non-coding RNA (488 nucleotides) under Helianthus annuus (common sunflower). RNAcentral's name for it is "sRNA HanXRQr2_Chr13g0584001". The record is from RNAcentral. Lineage: Eukaryota; Viridiplantae; Streptophyta; Magnoliopsida; Asterales; Asteraceae.